Molecule: ribosomal RNA, 800 nt
Filed under: Streptosporangium sp. YIM 48775
Lineage: Bacteria; Bacillati; Actinomycetota; Actinomycetes; Streptosporangiales; Streptosporangiaceae
Description: bacterial SSU rRNA
Rfam family: Bacterial small subunit ribosomal RNA
Source: RNAcentral
AUGCAAGUCGAGCGGAAGGCCCUUCGGGGUACUCGAGCGGCGAACGGGUGAGUAACACGUGAGUAACCUGCCCCUGACUCUGGGAUAAGCCCGGGAAACUGGGUCUAAUACCGGAUAUGACAUCGUUUCGCAUGGGAUGGUGUGGAAAGUUUUUCGGUUGGGGAUGGACUCGCGGCCUAUCAGCUUGUUGGUGGGGUAAUGGCCUACCAAGGCGACGACGGGUAGCCGGCCUGAGAGGGCGACCGGCCACACUGGGACUGAGACACGGCCCAGACUCCUACGGGAGGCAGCAGUGGGGAAUAUUGCGCAAUGGGCGAAAGCCUGACGCAGCGACGCCGCGUGGGGGAUGACGGCCUUCGGGUUGUAAACCUCUUUCAGCAGGGACGAAGUUGACGUGUACCUGCAGAAGAAGCGCCGGCUAACUACGUGCCAGCAGCCGCGGUAAUACGUAGGGCGCAAGCGUUGUCCGGAAUUAUUGGGCGUAAAGAGCUCGUAGGUGGCUUGUCACGUCGGGUGUGAAAGCUUGGGGCUUAACUCCAGGUCUGCAUUCGAUACGGGCUGGCUAGAGGUAGGUAGGGGAGAACGGAAUUCCUGGUGUAGCGGUGAAAUGCGCAGAUAUCAGGAGGAACACCGGUGGCGAAGGCGGUUCUCUGGGCCUUACCUGACGCUGAGGAGCGAAAGCGUGGGGAGCGAACAGGAUUAGAUACCCUGGUAGUCCACGCUGUAAACGUUGGGCGCUAGGUGUGGGGACCUUCCACGGUUUCCGCGCCGUAGCUAACGCAUUAAGCGCCCCGCCUGGG